GCCUUAUUGUGCAUAUUUGUUUAAACAAACAAAAAAAGAAAAAAGAAAGAAAGAAAAAACAGCAGUAUAGCCUAUGGGCUAUUUUUAUCUUGUAAGGAUCUAUUUCUUUAAAUUUAAAAUAAUGAUUUUAGAAUAUGGUUUUAUCUUGAGGUUAAUGUAUUCAGUUAUUCUAAAAUCAUGUGUUUGUAAGUUUCAAAGAAAAUUUAUCACCAUUUCAUUUUGCUUAAUUAACCUAGAAAGUAAAAAGGGUGUGAUUAAGCUACAUUAAUUCUUAGCACAAUCUACAAAGAAUCUGUUAUGACCUUGAUUUUCUUCUUGACAGUGAUAAUGACCCUAAGAAAAAUAAAGCUUCUGUUUUUUUCAAUCAGAAUGAACCAUGAAUGUUAUUCUACUUAAGUCAGCCAACUUAAUAGUAAAAGACAAGCAAUUUCAAAAAAUAAAAAAAGGCUGGGGCUGUAGAUCAGUGAUAAAGUACUUGCCUAACACAUGUGAGGUCCUGGGUUCAACCCCCAGUACCAAAAACAAAACAAAAUUUAAAAUAAACAAACAAAAAACCCUUGAAAGGUGGAGAGACAGAUCACCUAGCAAUCUCAGGACACAAAGAAUGACAUUGUGGUAUAUUCUCUGGAUUAUCUUUUUUCCCCCUCAUAUAAAUCAGGCUUGGAACUAAGAAAUCAGCAAUGCAGAAAUGUCAAGAGGUAAAUCCAAGCAAAAACCCCAAACAAAGCCUGCACUCUCUAUAGAAAGACCUGGAAAGGACAGCCUAGCAAAACCAAAAUCAAACAAACCACACACAGAGACACUAUAUAGAUGUCUUUAAGCUAAGCUCAAUCCAUAGAAGAAUUUAUGAUCGCAUUUUCUCUACACCAGGAAAAGCAGAGGAAGGUAAACUUGACUUUCAUCCAUAUGGGGCUGUAAAGUGCCUCAGUAUCCACUACUGCAGUAGUGGUCAGAGAAGGUCAAGUAGGGAUCUGGACCUUGAAAUCUUCUGGCCAAUAAUGAGCCCUCUAUCAUUUCACUGGUAUCAGUGGAGAUCACAGGGUAGCUUCUAUCCUUAACCAGCAGCAAAGAGGAGCCCCUUCCUUUCUCUAAUGGGAUGAUGUCAGAGGAAGAUAGAAGUAACAAGACCACUACUAACAA
Molecule: long non-coding RNA, 1140 nt
Filed under: Marmota monax (woodchuck)
Lineage: Eukaryota; Metazoa; Chordata; Mammalia; Rodentia; Sciuridae
Source: RNAcentral